Molecule: ribosomal RNA, 465 nt
Filed under: uncultured bacterium
Lineage: Bacteria
Description: partial 16S ribosomal RNA
Rfam family: Bacterial small subunit ribosomal RNA
Source: RNAcentral
CUACGGGUUGCACCAGCUAAGAAUCUUCCGCAAUGGGUGAAAGCCUGACGGAGCGACGCCGCGUGUGUGAUGAAGGCCGUGAGGUUGUAAAACACUUUUGUUACAGAAGAAUAAUAGUGGUAGGGAAUGACCAUUAGAUGACGUUAUGUAACGAAUAAGCCCCGGCUAAUUACGUGCCAGCGAGCCGCGGUAACACGUAAGGGGCAAGCGUUGUUCGGAUUUAUUGGGCGUAAAGGGCGCGUAGGCGGUUUGCCAAGCCUGAUGUGAAAGACCCCGGCUCAACCGGGGGGACGCGUUGGGAACUGGCAGGCUAGAGUAUAGGAGGGGUAGUUGGAAUUCCAGGUGUAGGGGUGAAAUCUGUAGAUAUCUGGAAGAACACCGGUGGCGAAGGCGAACUACUGGCCAUAUACUGACGCUGAGGCGCGAAAGUGUGGGGAGCGAACAGGAUUAGAUACCCUGGUAGUC